GUGCUCGCUUCAGCAGCACAUAUCCUAAAAUUGGAACAACGCAGAGAAGAUUAGCAUGGCUCCCAUGCAAGGAUGACACGCAAAUCUGUGAAGCCGUCCAUAUUUUU
RNAcentral lists this small nuclear RNA (107 nucleotides) under Ursus maritimus (polar bear). Lineage: Eukaryota; Metazoa; Chordata; Mammalia; Carnivora; Ursidae. The record is from RNAcentral.